UACAAUCCUCUAGCCCUCCUAAUGUUGUGAAUGGAGAUGCAUUUAGAGGGAAUCUAAACUGAUGUAUGCUGUUGAUCCCUUAUGAAACAGUCUAUUGUUAAGGGCUCCCAGCCUGGAACAUAUGCAGUGAUGUUGUCCUGGAGAGCCAAGAACUAGGCCUGAGAAACCUGAACUCUCAUCUACCACGAAGGAAGCAAGGGAGGGGAGGCAAAGUAGUCAGGCCAGAAAGUAACAGACGCUGAGCAUAUAAACAACUUCACUGCGUGCUCCAGUUGAGUCAAUGCCUGUCGGUAAGAGCCUCCCCUCAGAGAAGACACUACAGAAAGGAAUACAUCUAAUUCCAAAUACUUGAGAAGCUGAGACCCCAGAAAGACCCCACCAAGAGGUGAUCACAGGACCUCCUUCCAGAGAUGGCCACAAUCUGCAAGAUAUUCCUGCUGUAUGGGUGCCAGGUAAGAAAUCAGGAACCACUGUAGUCUCACUACAGAAGAGCGCUACAGCUUUGGUCAUUGUUUGGUGACUUGCUAUGCCCCCAGGACAUAAAGCAAAUGACUUAGCGACCUUCAGAUAUUCUACAGUGUCCAUCACUGGAGGGUCUGAGAGUAAACCUUUCUCAAACUGGUCUCUCUUAUAACCAACUGCUGUACAGGGAAAAUACUUUGUCUACAGCUGCUAUAGGAACCUGCAGAAACCUGGUGUCUACUUGGAAUCCUGGACCAGGAUCACUGAA
Long non-coding RNA from Mauremys mutica (yellowpond turtle), 730 nucleotides. RefSeq lists it as uncharacterized. The record is from RefSeq and is a predicted model, not a curated record. The transcript is spliced from 4 exons. Lineage: Eukaryota; Metazoa; Chordata; Testudines; Geoemydidae.